AUGCACGCUGGCGGCGUGCCUCAUACCUGCCAGUCGAGCGAACAGACGAGGAGCUUGCUCCUCUGACGUUAGCGGCGGACGGGUGAGUAACACGUGGAUAACCUACCUAUAAGACUGGGAUAACUUCGGGAAACCGGAGCUAAUACUGGAUAAUAUAUUGAACCGCAUGGUUCAAUAGUGAAAGACGGUUUUGCUGUCACUUAUAGAUGGAUCCGCGCCGCAUUAGCUAGUUGGUAAGGUAACGGCUUACCAAGGCAACGAUGCGUAGCCGACCUGAGAGGGUGAUCGGCCACACUGGAACUGAGACACGGUCCAGACUCCUACGGGAGGCAGCAGUAGGGAAUCUUCCGCAAUGGGCGAAAGCCUGACGGAGCAACGCCGCGUGAGUGAUGAAGGUCUUCGGAUCGUAAAACUCUGUUAUUAGGGAAGAACAAAUGUGUAAGUAACUAUGCACGUCUUGACGGUACCUAAUCAGAAAGCCACGGCUAACUACGUG
Molecule: ribosomal RNA, 496 nt
Filed under: uncultured bacterium
Lineage: Bacteria
Description: partial 16S ribosomal RNA
Rfam family: Bacterial small subunit ribosomal RNA
Source: RNAcentral